GACGAACGCUGGCGGCGUGCCUAAUACAUGCAAGUAGAACGCUGAAGAGAGGAGCUUACUCUUCUUGGAUGAGUUGCGAACGGGUGAGUAACGCGUAGGUAACCUGCCUUGUAGCGGGGGAUAACUAUUGGAAACGAUAGCUAAUACCGCAUAACAAUGGAUGACACAUGUCAUUUAUUUGAAGGGGCAAUUGCUCCACUACAAGAUGGACCUGCGUUGUAUUAGCUAGUAGGUGAGGUAAUGGCUCACCUAGGCGACGAUACAUAGCCGACCUGAGAGGGUGAUCGGCCACACUGGGACUGAGACACGGCCCAGACUCCUACGGGAGGCAGCAGUAGGGAAUCUUCGGCAAUGGGGGCAACCCUGACCGAGCAACGCCGCGUGAGUGAAGAAGGUUUUCGGAUCGUAAAGCUCUGUUGUAAGUCAAGAACGGGUGUGAGAGUGGAAAGUUCACACUGUGACGGUAGCUUACCAGAAAGGGACGGCUAACUACGUG
This 496-nucleotide ribosomal RNA is filed under the name uncultured bacterium. RNAcentral's name for it is "partial 16S ribosomal RNA". It matches the Rfam family "Bacterial small subunit ribosomal RNA", at positions 28 to 507 of the family's 1533-position model. The record is from RNAcentral.